Molecule: long non-coding RNA, 1295 nt
Filed under: Bemisia tabaci
Lineage: Eukaryota; Metazoa; Arthropoda; Insecta; Hemiptera; Aleyrodidae
Description: lncRNA ENSSSA1NGG008758
Source: RNAcentral
CAGGACUUUUUCUCUCUUGAUGUAAAUAUUUCCUGUAUUAUAAGGUUUUAUACGAUACAUGUAAUCAAAACAACUGUUUGAUUUGAAAAAAACUGAUCAGAAUCUUUUGUAACUGAUGCCUGCCUUCAACCAAAACCAGAAGCAAAGUUUCAGCAAAGUAAGCCGAUCAAUAAAGUUUUUACGAUAUCGGUAAUCUUCACUAAGCGAUUCAACCAAACAAUUAUACUAAUAUCAAGUUGUAUCAUGAACGAACAGCCUCAUUUGCCAAGGAAAAAGGUAAUAUUUCCCACUCAGAGACCUUGAACAGAAAGUUUGUUGAAGUCCUCUGAAUUGGAUGAGUGCUAUUUUUCCACCUCUCUGGAUUAAGUGAUUAAUCUCUCAUGAAUUUCCUUUUGCAGCUAUUCCAAAUUUACUUCUCUCCACGUGUGAAACAAAUGCAUGUCCGAAUUCACUACUCUCAACAUCAGAAGCAAUUGCAUCUCAAGAGGAAGAUGAUAAUAAUAUUGAGGUAUCUCGUGAAAGCUGUUGUGUUGCCGGUUGUGAAAAUGCAUCCCUGCAACGUAGUGAAAAGCAUAAGUUAUGUUUCUUUCCCUUUCCCAGGGACAAACAAAGAAGGCAACUCUGGAUUAAUUUUUGCAGCAGAGAAUCUAGAUUUAAUUCUUACAAAAGUAAGAUUUGCAGCAGACAUUUUAGUCAAGAGCAGCUUGUUCAAUAUGUAGUCCGAGGAGAACAAACUAUGAAAACAAAACUAAAAAAGAAUGGUGAGAAACAUUUUGUCAGCUUGCUGCCCAUGCUAUACUUUACUGAUACUCAACAUAGUCAAAAAUCAUUUAUCAAGAUAUUUUCACCUAUCUACUACAGUCAACUCUCGAUAAUUCGAAUUUCAAGGGACUGGAGAAAAAUUCGUAGCAACGAGAGUUUUGAAUUAGUGACGUCUUUGAAUCAAUUAAGUGUUCAAAUUAGGAGGUUUGGGCUAAAAAAAUUCGAAUUAAAGAGAUUCUAAAGAGAUCGUGAGAAUGAAGACGGAUUAACAAAUUUUGUCACCUUAUUCGCAUCUUUACAAUGGAUAAAAAAUGCUGGAUGUCAUGUGUUUGUCACUCUGGGAAAUUAAUGAGUUUUCAGUUGACAGAGAGGUUUUUUGGUAUCUUUUUGUUGUUGACUUGCUAGAAGUUUUGAAGUAAUGAGAGUCUCUUUCUAAAAUUUCGAAUUAUCGAGGUAGUUUGGUUACGCUGGUUUCUGAAAAAUUUGAAUUAUCAAGAUGAGAAAAAUGCAUUGAUUUUUUUCGAAUUAUCAAG